AAAAUAGUGUCUCCUUUCUUCACUGACUUUGAUAGGCCACUAAAAUUUAUUGGCAGUAGAUUUGGUGUAGCCUCUUUAUCUUGAUCAGGUGUCAGGACAACUAAGGAAUCUGCUUGGAGUGAAAUUGGGUGUUCGCUCUUAUUGACAACUUGUAGUUCAGGACCACCAGUGUCUAGCAUAACCGCACAGAGCUUCUUUGAUUUUUUGACGGCUGCCCUUAGAUUUUCCAAUGUCUCUUGGUGAAAUUCGGCAUCUCCCCAUGAAAAGUCAAAUCGUGCCACAGACAUUCCCGAUUCAAG
This 299-nucleotide unclassified non-coding RNA is filed under the name Hevea brasiliensis (rubber tree). Lineage: Eukaryota; Viridiplantae; Streptophyta; Magnoliopsida; Malpighiales; Euphorbiaceae. The record is from RNAcentral.